AUGCGCUCUGCGCCCGCCUGGCACCAGCCUGGCCUUUGUCGUCAUGGCUCACGUCAGCCGAGCCUCGUGAGGAGAACCUUGCAUAGAACUCUCCGCCCCUCAGGAGCCAGCCUGAGGAGGCCGAUCCCCUCGGGGGUCUUGGCGUCACCCGCCUCGCGAGGCUUGGCCCCUCGCGAGGGUCUUGUGGUGUUGAUGUUGAAGCUGGGCCGUACCAGGCCGUCGAUGGAGCCACGUGGUGGGCCGCAGGCAGGCAGGACUGGAUACCCCCAAAUCCAGGACGCCGACAGUAGCCCCGGGGCCCAAGGCGCGCUCGGACUUGGCUUCCAGGCGAAGCCAAAGGGAAAGUGCGGAGUGCCGCGGGCCCUAACCGCCUGCGGCCUUGAUGACACAUGGCGGUUGAUGGGACGUGGGUGUCUCCACUUCCCCACGCCGCCUUGA
RNAcentral lists this ribosomal RNA (438 nucleotides) under Triticum aestivum (bread wheat). Its description in RNAcentral is "partial small subunit ribosomal RNA". The record is from RNAcentral. Lineage: Eukaryota; Viridiplantae; Streptophyta; Magnoliopsida; Poales; Poaceae.